RNAcentral lists this ribosomal RNA (140 nucleotides) under uncultured eukaryote. RNAcentral's name for it is "partial 18S ribosomal RNA". It matches the Rfam family "Eukaryotic small subunit ribosomal RNA", at positions 1299 to 1458 of the family's 1831-position model. The record is from RNAcentral.
UGGUGGAGUGAUUUGUCUGGUUAAUUCCGUUAACGAACGAGACCUUAACCCGCUAAAUAGUUACACGUAGCCUCGGUUACGUGGGCAACUUCUUAGAGGGACUUUGCGUGUCUAACGCAAGGAAGUUUGAGGCAAUAACA